CAGAUGGGAGGCAGAAGGGAGGAAGAGGGGGAAAGGGGCGCGAGCCUGAACCAGCCAAGGCGCGUGAGGGAAGACGGGCCGAGGGAUUGUAAACCUCUUUUGUCGGGGAGCAAAAGACGCCACGCGUGGCGUUCCGAGAGUACCCGACGACAAAGCAUCGGCUAACUCCGUGCCAGCAGCCGCGGUACUACGGUGGAUGCGAGCGUUAUCCGGUUUUAUUGGGUUUAAAGGGUGCGCAGGCGGAAGAUCAAGUCAGCGGUAAAAUUGAGAGGCUCAACCUCUUCGAGCCGUUGAAACUGGUUUUCGUGAGUGAGUGAGAAGUAUGCGGAAUGCGUGGUGUAGCGGUGAAAUGCAUAGAUAUCACGCAGAACUCCGAUUGCGAAGGCAGCAUACCGGCGCUCAACUGACGCUCAUGCACGAAAGUGUGGGUAUCGAACAGGAUUAGAUACCCGAGUAGUC
Molecule: ribosomal RNA, 459 nt
Filed under: uncultured bacterium
Lineage: Bacteria
Description: partial 16S ribosomal RNA
Rfam family: Bacterial small subunit ribosomal RNA
Source: RNAcentral